This 375-nucleotide ribosomal RNA is filed under the name uncultured bacterium. RNAcentral describes it as "bacterial SSU rRNA". It matches the Rfam family "Bacterial small subunit ribosomal RNA", at positions 524 to 898 of the family's 1533-position model. The record is from RNAcentral.
GACGAACUGUGCGAACGUUGUUCGGAAUCACUGGGCUUAAAGGGUGCGUAGGCGGCCCGUUAAGUCGGGGGUGAAAUACUUCGGCUCAACCGGAGAAUUGCCUUCGAUACUGGCGGGCUGGAGGAAGGUAGGGGUCGCGGGAACUGCCAGUGGAGCGGUGAAAUGCGUUGAUAUUGGCAGGAACGCCGGUGGUGAAGACGCGCGGCUGGACCUUUUCUGACGCUGAUGCACGAAAGCCAGGGGAGCAAACGGGAUUAGAUACCCCGGUAGUCCUGGCCCUAAACGAUGGGUACUAGGUAGUGGGUUCGACACGGACUCGCUGCCGAAGCAAAAGUGUUAAGUACCCCGCCUGGGGAGUAUGGUCGCAAGGCUGAA